AUAAAAAUAUCUACAUAUACAUUUUUGCAACCAUUUUGUGAAAUAAAUCCUCAAGUUGAGACUUAUUUACAGUGGCUGCCACUAGCAUUUAAUAAUUGUUUUUGAUAAUUAGAAAGUAAAUCUUGGAAUUAAAUAUUUGACAUUUAACUAUCUUCCCAAAAUCUCUAUACAUUAACUACACGAUUAGUUACUAAAAUAAAACUUCCAAAAUAUUUAACAUCAUUUAAAAAUUACAAAAUUAUCAUUUUUGAUAUUGCUUUUUUGCAUAACUAUAACAAUUUGAUUAUAAGCAUCAAACCGUUGAGAUAUUUGAUACCAGUUAAUUACUACAAAAUUAGAAAAUAUUUAGACAAUAGUUCAUAAACAUAUCAUAAAUAAGAUCAACAUUAAUAAAAUAAAUAGAUUUUUUUACGUGACGGGUUGGCGGGACGAGUUUGGCAGGACGUUACUUAAUAACAAUUGUAAAUAAUAAAAUAAAAAUAUUUUAUAGAUAGAUAUAUCGCUGGUUAAAAUCUAGUUGAAAGUUAUUUUUACUUGGUUGUGUUUCAAUAACUUUAAAU
This 560-nucleotide small RNA is filed under the name Arabidopsis thaliana (thale cress). RNAcentral's name for it is "ATSL214210". The record is from RNAcentral. Lineage: Eukaryota; Viridiplantae; Streptophyta; Magnoliopsida; Brassicales; Brassicaceae.